CAAUAGCGUAUAUUAAAGUUGUUGCAGUUAAAAAGCUCGUAGUUGGAUUUGUGGUGUGUCCAGUCGGCCUUUGCUCUCUGAGUGAUUGUGCUGUACUGGUCUGCCAUGUUUGGGUGGAAUCUGUGUGGCAUUAAGUUGUCGUGCAGGGGAUGCCCAUCGUUUACUGUGAAAAAAUUAGAGUGUUCAAAGCAGGCUUAUGCCGUUGAAUAUAUUAGCAUGGAAUAAUGAUAUAGGACCUUGGUACUAUUUUGUUGGUUUGCGCACUAAGGUAAUGAUUAAGGGGGACAGUUGGGGGUAUUUGUAUUCCAUUGUCAGAGGUGAAAUUCUUAGAUUUUUGGAAGACAAACUACUGCGAAAGCAUUUACCAAGGAUGUUUUCAUUAA
RNAcentral lists this ribosomal RNA (383 nucleotides) under uncultured eukaryote. RNAcentral's name for it is "partial 18S ribosomal RNA". It matches the Rfam family "Eukaryotic small subunit ribosomal RNA", at positions 592 to 976 of the family's 1831-position model. The record is from RNAcentral.